GUAAGCCUUCCUUUGAGUGUGGGUGUUGGGUAUUGUGUCCAGCAGUGGGGACAGUGACUGAGACAGUCACAGUCACGGAAAGCUGUCACAGCACCACCCUUUGAGGGUCUAAGUUUAGCUCCAGGCAGAUUCCUGGUCAGCCCGUGAAGCCAUUAGUUUUAAACCGGUUCACUUUCAGUGUACCGUGGUCUCCGCUUCCCUCCCCAUGAGAUCACAUUCUUUGGCCUCACACCUACUGCCACCACCACCACCAAGUCUUCCCUUGAAAAAUCUAAAUCGGAAAGAAAACAGCUGAGUGACACCAGAAAAUUAAAUACAUAAAACCAUGUAUCUUCCCUCUGGAGUCUACCCCAUGGCCAAUGCUGGUUUGCUUCGACUGCUCCUUUCCAGCAGGGAAGUCUGUGCAGGUAUGCUGCUUUAAACAAGGUGGACUUAGCCAAGGCAGCGGAUGAUCUUGUGUUAAGGCGGAGUGCAAACACAUCUUGCCUGCUUUGUGAGAGGUUUCCAGAGAACUCGCAGGUGCAGCAGAACCACGGCUGGGCGGAGGGGCCACUGGGCCCUCUAGGAACUUCUCUCAAAUAUACCACAGGAGGCACUGCUCCCUGCAGAGUUCACGUGGGACGUCUUUAACUGUCCGCCAGUCUGUUUUCCCCAGAAUCAAACAUCUGCCCAAGUCCAAGAACAUCUCAAGAAGCCAAAAUAAAUACAGAAACCUUUUCCCAUAGCUCACCAGUUGAUUUUCCCAGCUAUAAAAAGAUGUUUCAACUGACAGGAAAUAGUUCCCUGACUGACACAGGUCUCCUGAGAGGAAGUGUGACUUCUUGUCCACUAACAUUUCAUGGUGGCUGAGAAUCAGCCUGCCUUCCUCUGAGGGCUUCCUAGGGCAACCAGUUGUUCAGGUCAGGAGUACCAUGAUAUAAUCUGAACCCAAUGAUCCUUGUAAAUACUCCAAUUCCAGGGAAAUCCUCAUCUUUGCCCUAAUUACAGCUUUUUUUUUUUUUGGUACUGGGGAUCGAACUCAGGACCUUGCACCUGCAAGGCAGGUGCUGGAACCACUGAGCUAAAUCCCAGGCCCACAAAUUGUUUUAAUUAACUCAAGGAAUAAGGCCCAGGCCUAUUUGGAGAUAUAUUCUCCCUUACAGCUUCUAGAAGUUCAAGAGGCAAAAUAUUUUUCAACAUUAGGUGAUCCAUUCCAAAUUAUUAAUUUCAUCUAACGAAGUAUGAUCGUUUUCUGUUGCUGCUGUAACCAAUGACCACAAAUUUAGGGACUUAACACAAAUUUUUGCCAUGACAGUUCGGUAAUGGUCCAAAAUCUCACGCCCGCCUGCCAAUGGCUGGGCUAUUUCUUCUGGAAGGCCCGGGAGAAUGUGUCCUGGUUUGGCCUGACUGGUACCACGUCCCUCCAACUCUGUCCACCCGUCCCUCUCCCUCCUGUGGCCCCUGUACCACCCUUGUAAGUCCACUCAUGAUUGCAUUUAGGGGCCACACAAGUACUACAGCACAGCCUCCCCACCUCACCCAGUCUCCUCUGCAAAGCCUCUGUUGCCACACAAAGUAACGCUCAAGGUUCUGGGAUUAUAAGUAUGAGUCCUGGGCGGGGAGGUCUAUAACUUGCCUAAUACAUAUGGGUUUGAAUUCAUUUUAAAUAAUGUGGUCCAGCCUCUACUGCUUUUAAAGUAAUUUCUUAUUUUAUACGUGACGCCGUGGGCAAGCUGACGAAGCCCUAUUUCUUUGUCUAGCAGGCUAUGCUACUGUAAUUGCUAACUGGAAAGCCUGUCCCUCAUCGGACUCUCGUUAGUCUCGUCUAGGACCACAAGACCGCCUACCGUAUUUCCUGCGUUUCCCUGGUCAAUGGUUUCAGUUCCCAGAAAAUGAAUCUUAACAGUCAGAAUUUUUGAUUGCCAGAGUAACCUUGCUUGAACUGGUUUAAAUUUUUUAAAAAAGUGUUGGCUCACAAAACUGAAAAUUGCAGUGGUGUUGAUGGGCUUGGGCACAAAUAGAAGCAAAUACUCAGUUAUGUCCUCAGGAACAUUUUGAAGUCAGUGUUUAUGCUGGGGGUGGACCACAGGGCCUCACGCAUGCCAGGCACAGGUUCUACACGGAGCACCCAGCCCCUCAUCUUCAGGAAUUUCCAAUCCGUCCCUUCCCUUCAACCUGCUUCGCUUAGUCUUGGUUUUUUCUCAGCCGAAGGCUAAUGCUCUAAUGCUCAUAAGUGUUGCAAAACAACAUCUCAGAAGUGCUGAUCUUCUAAUCUACCAACUUAGCAACCCAACAGCUGGAGGCAAUGCCUUUCUCUCAGAAGUUGCAGCAAAGGUCCCAGGGGUGUUGUCCCUGACCCAGGGGAAGUCACAGCACAUUACCGGCCCUGACGCCAUGGCUUCUGGGGUAUGUAUGUGCUCUGACUGUCGAAGCCUGAGCUCUAUGUCUCCUUGAAACCUAGGAGGAGCCCUUGUCCCAGGCCACAUAAGGGAGGCUUGGUCUCCCCAAAAUAAAGGUAAACUCAGCAGAAAGAGAAGUUGAUGGUGGGCCAAACAAAUUAACAUGUCUGCUACACUAGUUUCAGACCCAGGUGCUGCCUGUACAAGGAACAUCUAAUAGUGACGAAUUUCUCGAGGCAAGACUGUGCUUGCCCCUUACGCUAGACCCUUUCCCUCCAUCCUUGAGUAAUGCAGCACUACUCAGCUGUGUGUGGAUUCUCAGACACCAGAGUCGGGGAAAAUGAUCUCUUCUUAUGCCCAGGGCUGAGCCAAGAAAAGCCUGUUUCCUUGCUGAAAUAACCUGACACUGCAGGAUUGCAAAACCACGUCACAAAAGUCUCAACUCAGAUCUGUAAACCAUGGGAACCCUGAAAGAAAUGAUUGGUUGGAUUGUCCAGAGAUUACAUGACUACAAUGAAAGUGUAAAGUUUAGAUAGCACAUUCUCACUUUCGCCAAAACAGAACACUAAUGUGACCCAAUGUUUCUUAUUUCCAAAAAGCCCCUGACUAAAUCAAGUAAAAAGAAACCAACAAAGCUUUCCAUGUCCCGGCUUGUAACAUUUCUCUUCAUAAAUGAG
Long non-coding RNA from Heterocephalus glaber (naked mole-rat), 3055 nucleotides. The record is from Ensembl. Lineage: Eukaryota; Metazoa; Chordata; Mammalia; Rodentia; Bathyergidae.